GUCUCAUCAGUGUAAACACUGUUGACAUAUUAUUUCUUAAUAUUUAUUUACACUGUGUCUGUCUGUAGUAAAUUAUUAACUUCUGUAACUAAUUUUAAUCAUUGUUCAUUAGCCAGAAGAAGACAAUAGAGAUAUCCUGUAAGAAGUAGAUGAAAGUCAAUUUUAAGUUACUAUUUCAGUACAUCUCAUUUCAUUUUAUUAACUAUAUUAUGUAAGUAUCAUUUAUAAUUUACACAUUCUCUGUUUUAUAUUUACAUUUCUACUUCAUCUGCGCCAUUCUUGCUCCGUUCAAGUUAUGGUUUUACCUCCUCAUUUUUACUUUGCUUCAUUAUCUCUAAUUUCUAUCUUGGUUUAAAACCCGUAGUUAAUAUACUUUGCAGGAAAUUUAUUUUUAAUUUUUAUUAUAAUUCAUUCAACUUCGGCGAUCCUUUACAUAACUGUUGUGAAUUCAAAUGUGUCUUUUCAGUUUACAGUAACCGAAUCAUUAAAUUUUAAAACAAUAAGUAGUUAAGGCGGCGAAACAAGAAGUAUCGCUUCUGUGUAUCCCAUGUUGUGUAUUAACACGAAAAGAUGAGAGUGAACGUAAUGAAUUUUGAUAAACUAGUAUGCUGUAUAGUGAAAUGUCUGAAGUUUUAGAACUGAUACUUCGAGAGAAAAGGAAUUUUUCAUUUGUUGAACAUAACUUUUCGUUCAAACGAGUUGCUAGUCCAAAACUACAGGUUCCCCCUUCCCUCACGUCAUUCAAACUUGAUCAAAUAUAUGAAUUUCCUUGUGUAUUCUUUUGAGUCCACGGUGAAAAUGUAAAGGUUUGCCCUACCUCUAAUAAAAUCAUUAUAAUAUCAUUUUCUGAUAUGCGUAACGCUUUAUAUUAACCCUUAUUCAAGUCCUACAAUGAAUUUUCUCACUCAAAUAUUUAAAUGUUACUAUAAUCAUAAGUCUUUUACCUCCAGAAGCCUGAUUCAAUUAAGUAACUAACAUUUCAAAUGAUGUAGAUAUGAAUUUUUGUUUGCUUGGAUCUGGUGAAAAAUAUAGUUUUAGGAUGUUCUAGGUCGGCUGAGCUUGGUUUAUCCACACUUUUAGUCCUUACUCAUUUCUACUACAUAUAUAUACCAAAGUGUCUGUUCUCUGUAAACAUGUUCUGUUUCUUUCGGUUCUAACUUUCAAUAUCUAUGGUCAGCUAUUUUCUCCAAUAAUCAACAUGUUAAUACUUCAUUGUCCUUUAUGUCUUAUGUUGUCUUUAUUUCAGGUUAUUUGAUGACACUGAGAUAAAAAUGUUUCAUGGAUCGUCAAUCUUGGAAAACUAAAAAUAACUUCAUCAAGCUGAUGUCAGCCCAUAUCUACUACUCUUGGUUGAAUUGAUGUGAAAUAUUUCCUUUGAAGUGAGAAUAUUUCUAAAAAAAUUCUUAUACAAAUAUUUACUCGAAUAUUUUGUGUGCAGAUUAAAAUUGGAAGAUUUACCAUGAAAUUGUAAUUUUCUUAUGUGUGAUUACUAAUAUAACAAAAAUAUAUCUUGUUAAUUCGGAUGAGUUUAAUGUUCUUUUAGUUGCUCAUCAUUAAUUACAAGAUUCCAUUUUAAGAAAUCCAC
This 1585-nucleotide long non-coding RNA is filed under the name Octopus vulgaris (common octopus). The record is from RNAcentral. Lineage: Eukaryota; Metazoa; Mollusca; Cephalopoda; Octopoda; Octopodidae.